UACUCCGGGCUGGACGACGAGU
RNAcentral lists this unclassified non-coding RNA (22 nucleotides) under Chlamydomonas reinhardtii. RNAcentral describes it as "small RNA Cre_2249". Lineage: Eukaryota; Viridiplantae; Chlorophyta; Chlorophyceae; Chlamydomonadales; Chlamydomonadaceae. The record is from RNAcentral.